This 256-nucleotide ribosomal RNA is filed under the name uncultured bacterium. RNAcentral describes it as "partial 16S ribosomal RNA". It matches the Rfam family "Bacterial small subunit ribosomal RNA", at positions 96 to 353 of the family's 1533-position model. The record is from RNAcentral.
UAGCGGACGGGUGAGUAAUGUCUGGGAAACUGCCUGAUGGAGGGGGAUAACUACUGGAAACGGUAGCUAAUACCGCAUAACGUCGCAAGACCAAAGAGGGGGACCCUCGGGCCUCUUGCCAUCGGAUGUGCCCAGAUGGGAUUAGCUUGUUGGUGGGGUAACGGCUCACCAAGGCGACGAUCCCUAGCUGGUCUGAGAGGAUGACCAGCCACACUGGAACUGAGACACGGUCCAGACUCCUACGGGAGGCAGCAUG